AUUGAACGCUGGCGGCAGGCUUAACACAUGCAAGUCGAGCGGGGUGAUGGUGCUUGCACUAUCACUUAACGGCGGACGGGUGAGUAAUGCUUAGGAAUCUGCCUAUUAGUGGGGGACAACAUCUCGAAAGGGAUGCUAAUACCGCAUACGUCCUACGGGAGAAAGCAGGGGAUCACUUGUGACCUUGCGCUAAUAGAUGAGCCUAAGUCGGAUUAGCUAGUUGGUGGGGUAAAGGCCUACCAAGGCGACGAUCUGUAGCGGGUCUGAGAGGAUGAUCCGCCACACUGGGACUGAGACACGGCCCAGACUCCUACGGGAGGCAGCAGUGGGGAAUAUUGGACAAUGGGGGGAACCCUGAUCCAGCCAUGCCGCGUGUGUGAGGAAGGCCUUAUGGUUGUAAAGCACUUUAAGCGAGGAGGAGGCUCUUUUGGUUAAUACCCAAGAUGAGUGGACGUUACUCGCAGAAUAAGCACCGGCUAACUCUGUGCCAACCGCCGCCGUAA
Molecule: ribosomal RNA, 503 nt
Filed under: uncultured bacterium
Lineage: Bacteria
Description: partial 16S ribosomal RNA
Rfam family: Bacterial small subunit ribosomal RNA
Source: RNAcentral